Molecule: ribosomal RNA, 252 nt
Filed under: uncultured bacterium
Lineage: Bacteria
Description: partial 16S ribosomal RNA
Rfam family: Bacterial small subunit ribosomal RNA
Source: RNAcentral
UACAGAGGUCCCGAGCGUUGUUCGGAUUCACUGGGCGUAAAGGGUGCGUAGGUGGCCUGAAAAGUUUGAUGUGAAAGCUCAGGGCUUAACCCUGAAAUGGCAUUGAAUACUGUCGGGCUGGAGGUUUGGAGGGGGACUGGAAUUCUUGGUGUAGCAGUGAAAUGCGUAGAUAUCAAGAGGAACACCAGUGGCGAAGGCGAGUCCCUGGACAACACCUGACACUGAGGCACGAAAGCUAGGGGAGCAAACAGG